AACUUUUGGCAAUGGAUCACUUGGCUCUCGCAUCGAUGAAGAACGCAGCGAAAUGCGAUAAGCAAUGUGAAUUGCUGAAUUCAGUGAAUCAUCGAAUCUUUGAACGCAUCUUACGCUCCAUGGUAUUCCGUGGAGCAUGCCUGUUUGCGCGGCACUCAAGUUCUCAACCACAACUGUAUUCUUUUUUCUGUUGCGGCUUGGAUUGGUGGGGGAUUUGCUGGCUUUCACAAGUCUGCUCCCCUGAAAUGCAUUAGUGGUAUGAGCUACUACGUGGUGUGACAAAUUUAUCUAUGCCCUGCUAGUGUGCAGCUGUAUACUGCUUCUAACAAAAACCUUAUUUGUUUGAUGAAUUUGACCUCAAAUCAGGUAGGACUACCCGCUGAACUUAAGCAUAUCAAUAAGCGGAGGCU
Molecule: unclassified non-coding RNA, 410 nt
Filed under: uncultured Inocybe
Lineage: Eukaryota; Fungi; Basidiomycota; Agaricomycetes; Agaricales; Cortinariaceae
Description: sequence contains ITS2
Rfam family: 5.8S ribosomal RNA (bases 1-154)
Source: RNAcentral